RNAcentral lists this small nucleolar RNA (132 nucleotides) under Myotis brandtii (Brandt's bat). Lineage: Eukaryota; Metazoa; Chordata; Mammalia; Chiroptera; Vespertilionidae. The record is from RNAcentral.
GUGCAAACUCGAUCACUAAGUCUGGAAUGUAUUGUGGAAGUGAAGGGAACCAGGUUUGCUAAAGUAAUUGUGUUGAUAGAAAUAUAUUAGCUCCAUAGCUUCUGAGGGGGUCCAUUCUACGCUAGUACAGUG